Spinacia oleracea (spinach) is the source of this 3033-nucleotide long non-coding RNA. RefSeq lists it as uncharacterized. NCBI's taxonomy places the organism in Eukaryota, Viridiplantae, Streptophyta, Magnoliopsida, Caryophyllales, Amaranthaceae. The transcript is spliced from 3 exons. The record is from RefSeq and is a predicted model, not a curated record.
AGAUUCCCAAAAAUAAAGGUAGCACAAAAAAAAUACCUCCUUCCCCUCACAUUCGUUCUUCGCUUCUUUCUGUCUCCCCGACACUUAUCUCUUUUCCUCUUCACCUUCGUUUUCUUCCACCUCACUCAUCACCUUCGUCUCCUCGCCGCCGGAGAUCAUCGUCGAACCUCUUUGUUGGCGGCUGCUUAAUUGUUCUUUGUUGUUGUGGUGUUGAUUGUUGCAGUAUAGCUUCUUUAUCCUCAUCUCUUGUCUUCGCACUCUCUCUCGCCUCCAGUCCGCACCGCUGCUGCCAAUGGUGGUCGUGAAACCUUCAUCAACUGUAAUCCAUUAUCAAUUGAUUAUUUAUCUCCUAUUGUUCGGUGCACCACUUCCUCCGUCGUCGGAGCCGUGUUGUGGUGGUGGUGAUGCCCACCUUGUGGGUUAUUCGUUGACUUGUCGUUGCGGCUCUACUCUACCCAUGUUGUCCCCUGCAUCGUCUCUUCUGGAGCUCCAUGGGUUUCCGUAGUUGCGGUUUCUUUUGGUGUUGGUUGGGUCCUCUUUAUUCCUCCAUUUCAUUUAAUGGUGAAUCAUGUCCCAACAGCAAGUCAUCAAAUUCGACCAUAUGGCUGAUGAGCAGGAUGUGGCAGAAUUCAUUGAUGUUAUUGUGAGUUCUUUUUGGGAAAUGGGAUAUUGAAUAUUUACUUAUUUUGGUGUGAUUAGGAACGUAAGUCAAAAGAGAAAAGGUGUACCAUUCAAGACUGGUCAAGGGUACUAUUCUAAAUUUUCAAGUUUGUAGCUUUCUACUUUUCUGCACUGGUUUGUGAGAAAAAUAGCCAAUUCUUCCAGAUGUUGCUUUUUCUUUCGGUUCUUCAUGUUUCACUGCAUUGUUCCCGAAUGUUAAUGCUUAUUUAGAGACUAACCAUCAGUUUUCUCUCAUAAGGUACGUGGUAAUAUAUGAGGAGUUUUGUAGCUAAAAAUUGUAGGAAUAGUCAUUUUAGUCAAAAUAUGACCUAUAAUGAACAAACAAGCUUCAAUUGUGCAUAACUUGACCAAUGUAGGUGAGAAUGAGCCUUAUAAACAUUAAAAUAAGUCUAAUAAACAUGUAAAGUAUUUAAAAUACUUAUUUCGGUUCAUUAGUUGAAAGUUGAGACCGAAAUAAGCCAUUUAGUCAAAAUGUGACCAAUAACAAUCAAACGAGCCUUAAAUGAGAAUAACUUCACCAAAGUAGGUAAACAUUAGUACUUGAUACACAAAAUAAUAAAUAUUAAACAUGUAUAGGGUUUAAAAUACUUAUUUAAGUUCAUUAGUUGAAAAUUAUGAGUUAAAUAAGCUAUUUUAGUCAAAAUGUGACCUAUAAUGAUUAAACGAGACUUAAUGUGCAUACCUUGACCAAAAUCGGUGAGUAUGAGCGUUAGGAACAUAAAACUAAGUAUAUUAAACGUAUAACGGGUUUAAAAUACUUAUUUAAGUUCAUUAGUUGAAAGUUGAGACCGAAAUAAGUAAUUUUAGUCAAAAUGUGACCUAUAAUAAACUAACGAGGCUUAAAUGUGCAUAACAUCACUAAAAUGGAUGAGAAUGAGUCUUUGAAACAUAAAACAUAGUGUAUCAAACAUGGAAAGACUUUAAAAUACUCAUUUAAGUUCAUUAGUUAAACGUUGAGACCAAAAUUAGCCAUUUUAGUCAAAAUGUGACCGAUAAUGAACUAACGAGGCUUAAAUGUACAUAACUUCACCAAAAUGUAUGAGAAUUAGUCUUCGAAACAUAAAACUAAGUGUGUUAAACAUGGAAAUACUUUAAAAUACUCAUUUAAGUUCAUCAGUUGAAACGGAAAUUAUCCAUUUCAGUAAAAACGUGACCGAUAAUGAACUAUCGAGGCUUAAAUGUGCAUAACUUCACCAAAAUGGUGAGAAUGAGUCUUUGAAACAUAAAACUAAGUGUAUUAAAUAUGGAAAGACUUUAAAAUACUCAUUUAAGUUCAUUAGUUGAAAGUUGGGACCUAAAUUAGCCAUUUUAGUCGAAAUGUGACCGAUAAUGAACUAACGAGACUUAAAUGUGCAUAACUUCACUAAAAUGGGUGAGAGUGAGUCUUUGAAACAUAAAACUAAGUGUAUUAAACAUGUAAAGACAUUAAAAUACUCAUUUAAGUUCAUUAGUUGAAAGUUGGGACCGAAAUUAGUAAUUUUAGUCAAAAUGUGGCCGAUAAUGAUCAAACGAGUCUUAAAUGUGCAUAACUUCACCAAAAUGGGUGAGAAUUAGUAUUUCAAACAUAAAAAUAAAUGUAUCAAACAAGGAAAAGACUUUAAAAUACUUAUUUAAGUUCAUUAAUUGAAAGUUGGAACCGAAAUUAGCCAUUUUAGUCAAAAUGUGAUCGAUAAUUAACUAACGAGGCUUUAAUGUGCAUAACUUUUCCAAAAAGGGUGAGAAUGAGUAUUUGAAAGAUAAGAUUAAGUGUAUUAAACUUAUAAAGACUUUAAAAUACUCAUUUAAGUUCAUUAGAUGAAAGUUGGGACCGAAAUUAGCCAUUUUAGUCAAAAUGUGAUCGAUAAUGAACUAACGAGGCUUAAAUGUGCACAAGCUCACCAAAAUGCGUGAGAAUGAGUCUUUGAAAACAUAAAACUAUGUGUAUUAAACAUGGAAAUAAUUUAAAAUACUCAUUUAAGUUCAUUAGUUGAAAGUUGGGACCGAAAUUAACCAAUUUUAUUAUUAUACGGUUCAUUAUUUCUUUGUUUAAUUUGAACAAAUUAAGUCUUAAUUUAUUGUAUGAUUCAAUAUAUAUUUAUAAUAUAACUAAAGUGUAUAUAUAUUCUUUGAUGGUUGAUAUUUUUAAGGUAUUCAAUAAUCGGAGGGAGCGGCCUUUCACCUUUGAGGAGAUAGAUGAAGUUCGAGAAAUGUUGGCAAACUUCAUUACGAGUGAUUGUCUUUGAUAUUUUCUUGUACUGAAUCUUAAAUUAUGGAUUCAAGUUUUUCAUAUGAUUGUAAUGUAAUCGAAUUUUACAUUUACAAGUAUAUACUAUUUAAUUUAAUUAUCUAUAAAAUUGGAUACUUUUUAUGUGA